AGACCACCAAAUGAUAUAUUCAAAUUCGAAAGAACUAAGACAAGCAGAUAUGGAAGAUGUAAGACAGUGGAUAUUGACACUACUCAACCCAGAAAAACAAUCUACCGCACGAGCAAUAAAAAAGGGAUUUAUUUCAGACGGACUACUAACGAGAUACUGUAAGAUAAUUGGACAUAAAUAUCCAGACCACCAAUGUUCGAGGUGCAAUGGAGAAGAUAAUAUUAUUCCAGAGGUACAUCUAGAAUAAAGAAGAUAAAAUGCCAGCUGGAAGGAUAAGAUAAAGAGCAAUAAUGGAGCAGAUAAAGAGCAAUAAUGGAGCAGAUAAAGAGCAAUAAUGGAGCAGAUAAAGAGCAAUAAUGGAGCAGAUAAAGAGCAAUAAUGGAGCAGAUAAAGAGCAAUAAUGGAGCAGAUAAAGAGCAAUAAUGGAGCAGAUACAGAGCAAUAAUGGAGCAGAUACAGAGCAAUAAUGGAGCAGAUACAGAGCAAUAAUGGAGCAGAUACGACAAAAUCAACGGAGACAAGAUACUGUACAUUAAUUAAUUUGUUAGACUUUUUACGUAGAAAAAAUGUAUAUGUAAGCCACUAUUGUUGACUAUUUUUUUUCUUUAGUUUUAGAAAUUGUAAGUUAGAUACCUUUUUGACUUCUUAGGCUUAGUUUUAAUUGAGAAACUUUACGUAACUUAGAAUUUUAGGAAAAGUUAGAUGGGGAUAGGCCCCACUUCUUUAAUUUUCAUUACUUCUUAGACACAGCAGAUAUGUAAAUUCAUUCUAUAAAUACAAAGGUCGAGGGUAUUGCGGAAAGCAAGCCUUCUUUUGAAGCAAACCUUUCUCUCUCCAUUCCACAAAAAUUACUCAGUUAAUUAGAUAAAUAUACUCCAAUGGAAAAAGCUAUGGAACAACAAAACUCAGAAACAUCAAAGCUACCGGAACAGGUAUAUCUAUUUAUAAUUAUGAAUAGCUAAUUUCAUAAUUCCCAACAAUCAUGAUAUGAUAAAAUAAUUCAUAUUAGUUACUUUAUAGUAGAAUUAUUCGAAGAAUAAUAUGUUAAGAAGUUUAUUAACAAAGAGGAAACGGAGAAAUAUCCCUAAGGACUAUG
This 1096-nucleotide long non-coding RNA is filed under the name Capsicum annuum. RNAcentral describes it as "long non-coding RNA (CANN_LNC007180)". Lineage: Eukaryota; Viridiplantae; Streptophyta; Magnoliopsida; Solanales; Solanaceae. The record is from RNAcentral.